RNAcentral lists this ribosomal RNA (550 nucleotides) under uncultured bacterium. Its description in RNAcentral is "bacterial SSU rRNA". It matches the Rfam family "Bacterial small subunit ribosomal RNA", at positions 75 to 632 of the family's 1533-position model. The record is from RNAcentral.
UUCGGCAGAGAACUUGUAUAGUCUAGUGGCGAACGGUCGCGUAACACGUAAGCAACCUGCCCUGAAGUGUGGGAUAGCCCGCCGAAAGGCGGAUUAAUACCGCAUGUGGAUAAUCACCCGCAUGAGAGAUUAUCUAAAGUAGCAAUGCGCUUCAGGAUGGGCUUGCGGCCUAUCAGCUAGUUGGUGGGGUAACGGCCUACCAAGGCGACGACGGGUAGCUGGUCUGAGAGGACGAUCAGCCGGAUUGGGACUGAGAUACGGCCCAGACUCCUACGGGGGGCAGCAAUUAGGAAUCUUGCGCAAUGGGGGAAACCCAGACGCAGCGACGCCGCGUGAAUGAUGAAGUCUUUCGGGAUGUAAAGUUCUGUCCUACAGGGAGGAAGAAUGUGACGGUACCUGUAGAGAAAGCCCCGGCUAACUACGUGCCAGCAGCCGCGGUAAUACGUAGGGGGCGAGCGUUGUCCGAAUUUAUUGGGUUUAAAGGGUGCGUAGGCGGAUUGAUAAGUCAGUGGUGAAAGCCUGCAGCUUAACUGCAGAACUGCCAUUGAUA